AUGGCGGAGAUGGAUUUGGGCGACGUGGUGCUCUCCUGGUCCAUCCGCGACAUCAACGACGACGACCUCUACAGGGACAAGGUUGAGACCAUUCCCUGCAAAUUCAAGUCAGUUGAUCACUAUCUCCAAUCGUAUCGUCUGCCUCUGAUUGAAGAAACGAGGUCAGAUCUGUGCUCAUGCCUUGAACUCAUCAAUGAAGCACCCUCGUCGAAAAUACUUUCCAUGGAGGUAGCAGGAAAAUCAGGAUUAUACUUCAUGGAUGUGGACUUCUGGGACAAUGGUGCUGGUUUUUCCACUGAGACAUACACGGCAAGGAAUGGUGAUAUAUUCAUUUUGUCUAGCUUGAAACCUGAAUCUGCAGAGGACCUUAACCGCUACGGUGUGACAUAUUGCUUGGCAAUGGUUACUGAGGUUUCUUUGGAUGAUGAAUACCAGAAGGGUUUCAGAGUUAAAGUUGCAAAGGAUAUUGGUUUGGAAGAAGAAGACUUGAGUAAAUUCAGACAUGCAAUAUUUCUCACUAAUAUCAUGACAAAUAUACGUAUAUGGAAAGCACUUUCGUUUGAUACGCACAUGGAUAACAAUUUCACAGUAAUCAAGUCUCUGUUAGCCCCAACAAAUUUGGGUGAUGAUGUAUGUGGUAUCUGUGUUGCACAGGAUGGGAGCUUAUUGCCUUCCUUGACAGAGCAAUUACUAUCAAUCAAACUUAAUCAAUCGCAACUGGACGCUAUUGAAUCUGUGAUCUCAGCUGUACGAUGUAGGCAUAUGAACCUGUUGAAGCUUAUAUGGGGUCCUCCAGGUACUGGAAAGACCAAGACUGUUAGUGCUUUACUAUGGGCUUUGGCGUGUGUGAAAUGCAGAACUCUUACUUGUGCUCCCACUAAUGUCGCUGUCGUUGGAGUUUGCACUCGUUUCCUUCAAAACUUGAAGGAGUUCAAUGAGCACAUUGAUGAAAAUGGUCUACCCUUUUCUCUUGGAGAUGUCUUGCUGUUUGGGAACAAGUAUAACAUGGACAUCACCGAGGAUCUUCAGGAAAUUUUCUUGGAUUUUCGGGUGGACGACCUUGUUGAGUGCUUUUCAUCGUUGUCUGGAUGGAAGUACAGAAUAGCUUCGAUGGUAUCCUUUUUUGAUGACUAUGUGUCACGUUACGAUAUGCUUCUUGAGGAUGAAGGAAAUAGUGAUCCCGUGAGCUUUCUGGACUUCAUAAAGAAACAGUUUGAUGCGAUAGCAAUAGCUCUGAAAAGAUGCAUAAUGAAUUUGUGGGUUCACCUUCCUGGAAGGUGCUUUUCUCGUGAUAGUGUCGUAAAUAUAUCUUCCUUGCUUAAUAUGCUGGAAAAUUUUGGGACCCUUCUGUGCAACGUAGACUUGACUGAAGAUUGUUUGAAAAGGGCCCUUGGUUGUCUGUCAAAUGAAAACUCUGUUUGUGUAAAGCCUAUAUCUUCUAUUGAGAAGGAACUGGACGGAGCAAGGUCUUCAUGCCUUAAAUUGCUUAAAGAUCUGCUACACUCGCUUAAUUUACCCACUGGAGUAGACAAAAACUGGGUCCAGAGCUACUGCAUACGUAAUGCCACACUUCUUUUCUGUACUACCUCUAGCUCUUACAGGUUGCAUCACAUGGAGAUUGCACCCCUUGAUGUCUUAAUUGUUGACGAGGCUGCUCAAGUGCGGGAGUGUGAGUUGGUGAUCCCUCUACGUCUGCAUUGGUUGAAGCAUGUUGUUUUGGUUGGAGAUGACUGUCAGCUGAGUGCAAUGGUUAAAAGUCAAGUAUGCAAAGAAGCUGGCUUUGGUACAAGUCUUUUUGGGAGAUUGGUUAUGUUGGGAUUAGAUAAACAUUUGCUGAAUAUACAGUAUCGCAUGAAUCCUAUUAUUAGCUUGUUUCCAAAUGUUCAGUUUUAUGAGAGGAAGAUUUUAGAUGGUUCAAAUGUCCUGUCACCUAGCUAUAACAAGGAUUAUACAUGCUUCCCGUUUGAUAGCUACACUUUUAUAAACCUCACUGAUGGAAGGGAAGACAAAGAAGGCACAGGAAACAGUCGAAGAAACAUGGUUGAAGUUGCUGUUGUUUUGCACCUGAUCCAAACCAUCUUUAAAUGUUGGAAAAGUACGGGCAAAGUGCUCAGCGUCGGUGUGGUCUCUCCAUAUAGUUCUCAAGUUGAUGCAAUUAAAGGUAGACUUGGCAAACAAUAUGACACAUGUGAUGGCUUUCAUGUGCGAGUCAAGUCUAUUGAUGGUUUCCAAGGAGAAGAGGAUGAUAUAAUAAUACUAUCAACAGUUAGAUCCAACGGGAGAGGAGUUGUUGGAUUUCUUGCUGAUAACCAAAGGACAAACGUUGCUCUUACCAGGGCAAAGCACUGUCUUUGGAUUGUUGGUAAUGCUCAUACACUGUACAAAAGUGGAACUGUCUGGACAGACCUUGUUUCUGAUGCUCAAAGACGUAAAUGUGUUUUCAAUGCCACUAAUGACACGGCCUUAUGUAAGUUGGUUUUGCAAGUAAAGCAAGAUCUUGAUGAACUUGAGGAUCUUCUUAAUGCUGAGUCGGCCGUUUUCAGCAAUACCAGAUGGAAGGUCAUUGUUAGCGACGAGUUUAGAAAGUCUUUCACCAAGCUAAAAUCAUCACAGCUCAGGAGAGAAAUACUCCAAAAGCUUGUCAAAGUUGGCGGUGGUUGGAGGACACCAGUUAGGAACUUGGAUGUACCUGGUGUUUCCAAUCUUGCGAAAGUAUACAAGAUCAGGGACCUUUAUCUUAUUUGGAGUACUGACUUGGAGAAAAGUGAAGAAAGGUAUAUCCAGAUAAUAAGAAUUUGGGACCUACUUUCACAACAACAUGUUGCAAGAACCGUUCAACGUCUCGAGAACCUAUUUUCCAUGUACACAGAUGAUUACCUGGAUCACUGCAGAGGAGUGCAGACCCUCGGGAAACUGGAGGUUCCUAUGGUUUGGGAUGUUGAGCAUGAUAUUAUUCACUAUAAGAAGGAUUGCAGAGUUGAUGCCCAGGAAGAGCAUGAUCUAGUGGAUACAUCAUAUGCUAUGGAAAAUUCAAAAGUUCGCGAAAGCUUCUUGCUGAUGAAAUUCUACUCGUUAUCAUCUGGAGUGGCAAAACAUUUGCUGACGGCUUCUGAUGGUUCUGAAAUCGAUAUCCCCUUUGAACUAACUGAUGAAGAGAAGGUGAUAAUCCAAUUCCCGGUCACUAGUUUUAUACUUGGGAGGUCAGGCACCGGAAAAACCACUGUAUUGACAAUGAAAUUGAUUCAAAAAGAGCAACAGUCAUUAAUUGCCUCCCAAGGUCUACAUUUGGAUGGAGAUGAUUUGUCAGGGCUUGAUGAAAAAGAUAUUGUGCCACUGAAUGAUGCAGGAGAAGGUUUUGUGAAACAAGUGUUUAUCACUGUAAGCCCAAAGUUGUGUUCAGCCAUAAAAAAUCACAUUUCUGGACUUAAAAGGUUUGGCUCUGGUGACGUCUCUGAUCAGCCUAGCAUUCUUCACAUGCAUGACAUCAUUGAUGACCAGGAAGAGUUUACAGAUAUACCUGACAAUUUUAGCAAUCUACCUCAUGAGCACUAUCCUCUUACUAUAACAUAUCGGAAGUUCUUGAUGAUGCUUGAUGGAACAUGCCGGACAUCAUUUUUUGAUGUGUUUUAUGGUGAACUGCAGCCUAGCAUUGAUAGAGGGCAUUCAAACUCCCGUGCACUGCAAACUUUUAUUGAAUCGAAGGAAGUUACCUAUGAGAAAUUUGCUGCUACCUAUUGGCCUCGUUUCAAUGCAGACCUGACCAAGAAUCUUGACGCAUCCACUGUCUUCACUGAAAUAGUUUCUCAUAUAAAGGGUAGAUAUCAAGCAAGCAGUCCUUAUAUCAGCAAGCUUGGAAGACAAGAUUAUGUGAUACUCUCAGAUAAAAGAUUUUCAUCUCUGAACAGUGAGAAGAGAGAUAGGAUUUACAAUAUUUUUGUUGAUUAUGAGAGUAUGAAAUCCACUGCCAGAGAGUUUGAUUUGUCAGAUUUUGUCAACAGCCUUCACACCAGUCUUGUAUCCGAGGGCUACAAUGGAGAUCUAUUGGACUUUGUUUACAUAGAUGAGGUGCAGGAUCUAACCAUGACACAAAUAGCACUUCUUAAGUACGUCUGCAGGAACUUCAAGGAAGGCUUCCUUUUUGCUGGUGACACCGCACAGACUAUAGCAAGGGGUAUCGAUUUCAGGUUUGAAGAUAUUCGUUCGCUUUUUUAUACCGCAUUUCUCUCAGAAACGGAAGCAUUUAAUCAAGGAAGUCAACAGGGAAAACAAGUCAAACUCUCUGAUAUGUUUCAACUUACUCAAAAUUUCCGCACACAUUGUGGCAUCCUUCACAUGGCACAAAGUAUCAUGAGCCUUUUGUACUUCUUUUUCCCGUCAAGUGUUGACAAGCUUAACCCAGAGACUGGACUUGUGUAUGGAGAAGCACCCGUGCUGCUGGAGUCUGAUAAUGAUGAAAAUGCAAUUAUGACUAUAUUUGGAGAAAUCAAAAGUAAGCAUGGUAGCAUGCAUGGGUUUGGUGCUGAGCAAGUCAUAUUAGUUCGUGAUGAUGCUACCAAAAAACAAAUUGUUGAUCUUGUUGGUAAACAGGCUCUUGUUUUGACCAUUGUUGAAUGUAAGGGCCUUGAGUUCCAGGAUGUGCUGUUGUACAACUUUUUCGGCUCGUCGCCCUUAAGAAACAAAUGGAGAGUUCUGUACGGCUACAUGAAAGAUAAAGAUAUUAUAGCACAAUCUGAAGAGAUCUCUCAUCCGGGUUUUGACAGAAGCAAGCAUCAUCUUCUCUGCUCAGAGUUGAAGCAACUCUAUGUUGCAAUCACACGCACUAGGCAAAGGCUGUGGAUAUGUGAGAAUACAGAUGAUUACUGUCGACCAAUGUUUGACUACUGGAAGAAGUUGUGUCUUGUAGAGGUUAGAUUACUUGAUUCUAACCUCGUUCAAGCAAUGCAGACAGGAAGCAGUGCUGAUGAUUGGAGGCUACGGGGAACAAAGUUAUUCAAUGAAGGGCAAUUUGAAAUGGCUACAAUGUGUUUUGAAAAAGCUGGUGAUACAUACAGAGAGAAGUGGGCAAGAGCUGCCGGACUUGUAGCUACUGCUGAACGUGCCAUGUCCUCAAAUUUGGAGAAGGGCAACGCUCAAUUGCAAACAGCAUCAGAAAUCUAUGAGUCCAUAGGCAUGCAUGAGAAAGCUGCUACCUGCUAUAUCAAAUUAGGUGACUACAAAAGAGCAGGUAUGAUCUAUAUGCAAAAAUGUGGUGCUUCCAGACUCGAGGAUGCCGGUGACUGUUUUGCCAUGACUGAAAGCUGGUCAGAUGCAGCUGAUGUGUACUUCAAAGCUAAAUGUUACACCAAAUGUUUCUUGAUGUGCUCGAAAGGAAAACAAUUAUUUAAUCUUGGCUUGCAGUUCCUGCAACAGUUGGAGGACCAUUUGGCUGAGAAUUCAAAAUCCUUGGAGGUUUCUGCAAUCAGAAAGACAUAUCUUGAAAAUUGUGCUCAACAUUAUUUUGUGUGCCGUGACAUAAAGCAUAUGAUGCAUUUUGUCAAGGCUUUCAGUUCUAUGGAUCAUGUGCGGGCAUUCUUAAAGUCUAGAAAUCUUGUUGAUGAACUGUUCAGUUUAGAGAUGGAAAAGGGUAAUUUCCUUGAGGCUGCAGGAAUGGCAAAGCAUAAAGGAGAUGUCCUGCUGGAGGUAGAUAUGCUCGAGAAGGCAGAUAUGUUUGAGGAUGCAACACGGCUUCUCCUACUCAAUAUCAUUGUAGAUUCCUUCUGGUCUUCAAACAGUCGAGGGUGGCCUCCCAAAAGAUACGCAGAGAAGGAAGGGUCGCUUGCAAGGGCCAAACAGAUGGCAAAGAAGGUCUCUGAGGGCUUCUACAGCUUUGCUUGCCUGGAAGCUGAUGCACUGUCAGAUAUGAAGAGGUCUCUUCCCAGUUUAAAUUGCACUUUGCUUGAUGGCAGAAAAUGUGAAAACUUGUUCGUUGAAUUUAUUGCUUCCCGUUUGAUUCUUGAUGUUCAUCUUCAGUCCCAAACCUCUGAAUAUAAUUUGGAAUUAGGACCAGGAUCUGAAGAUGACAGUAGUUGUAAUGAUAUGGUUGCUCGUAACCAGAUAUCACCCCAAACUCUAGCGUAUGCUUGGAAUCAUUGGAAGUCAAUCAUAAUCAAAGUACUAUCUCAUCUUCGCCACACUGAUGGUCCAGAAUUAAAUGAUUAUGAAGUUUUGUAUGAAGAGCUUUGCUGUAAGUACUUUGGGUUGAGGAAAGAUGGCGAAGAUGGCCGAUAUGUCGUGCUUAACAUGAAUUCAAGUUGGCUCUCUAAUGCAGGCAGAAAUUCUUUGCAGCAAGAUGGCAACAGAUGUUGGCUGGAUGUCCUUCAGUGUCAUUCAUGUGCUCAGUCUUUCCUGAUGAAUGAGUUGUCUUCUGUUGGUUUGAGUGUACUUAAGAAGUUGGAGACCAUUGUUCAAAUUUAUCCAAAUCCGGCAUCUUCAUAUGCCCUGGUGAGAACUACCCUUAUCAUAAAAGAGAUAGCUAACUUUUUGGAAGAACCAGAGUUCAGUAUGCCGAAAAGUACCAUGAAGUUAAGAAGCUUCUCUGCUCUGUGCGAGCGCCGCUUCUUUGAGUUAGUUUUUCUUGUCUGGAGAGAUGGCGCAACGAGGAGCCUCUUGCGUAUACUUGACUCACCAGCUUCAUAUUGUUUGGUUGCUGAUUCCCUUGGUGCAAAUCUCCGGCCAAGAAAUAAAAAUUUGACUUACGGGCAUCUUGGGAGGACAACUGUGCUUCUGCUUCAUGCAGCACGAUUGGAUGAUGCACUCAUUUCAAGGCUGCUACAGUACCUCGACAAUGAUUCUGACUGGGCAAAGUUUUUCCGACAUUUGAAGAGAUUUCUUGAUACUGGUGUUGAUAGAUCCUACUUGAUCAAGAACUUUAGGACUGCUCUUAAUUCUACCUUCUAUGAUGUGACUUGGAGGAAUGAACUGGAUUACAUAUCCCCAAUAUGCUAUGUGGGUCUGAUGGAGUGCCUUGGUUUCUUGGCUUCAUCGUACCUUCUACAGAAAGGUUGUAUAUAUGGCACAAAAUCUCUGUUGCUCAAUAUGCUGGACUGCCGUACCAGCAAGGUUUACCUUGACAGCUGCCUGGUAUCUAAUUCGAGCCCAGAUCCCGAUCUUGAGGAGAUGACAUUCUUAUCAGGGCGUUUCAUAUUUGAUACAAUUAUGAGUAUCUUGAGAAACAAGAAUACGCUCCGGGAUUGGGUACAGAAGACUUCAACUCCUAGUUGUUCAUACACUGCAGUCCUGUUGAGACUAGUGGUUACACUUUAUCCACUGAUCCUAACUCAUGAUGGUCUGGGGAACUGCUAUGAGGCCACAAAUAUUCUUCUGAAGCAUGGAGUCUUUAAGGAUUUACCUGUGGAAUUCUCUCAGAAGAUUGUGCGUGUCCUGCAACUGCAAAUGAGGUCUCGCACCAGGGGCAACUUCAGAAGAGCACUUGCUGAUGCAGUUGCUGCAAUCGGAGAUCGUAUGGUAGUUAUGGGUCCACCCAAAGAUAUAGCAAGCUUUCAGAACAUAAAUGCUGAUAUGAUUAGCACAGAGGAUUUGGGUGAUGUUCAGAAGGUAAUGGCUAUUCUUCGUCCUGAAGAGGCAAGUUCUGUAAAGGAAGAGGCCGCACUGCUAGAAAAAUCUGAUGGUAAAAAAAACAUUCCUAAGGCUGUACCAGCCAAUAAGGUGGAGAGUACAAGUGAAAUAGAUUUAAGUGAUGAGAAUACUCCCUUCUGGGAUAAGUUUGAGGCUUUUCAAGCCAACAAGGAAGGCCAGAAAGAUGCAAGGGUUAUUAUCCAAUUCCUUAGAAGUGUUGUUCGAUGGAUGGAACAAGCAGGCUUUACAGGAAAGCUUGAUGCACAACUGUUGGAAGAUAUCAGGCGCAUCCGCAGUGAAUUUGAUGAAUGCAUUGCUGGGAUGGAGAAGACAGCUUGUCUGACUCUGGAGGAUCUAUACUCGAUAUGGGGAGAUGGUGAGAACAAACUGCAGACGGUCAUCAGCUUUGUGUCCUCCGCAAGGGCGUCCAUGGAAGAAGAUGACAGGAGGAAUGUCCAGCCGCAGACUGACAGAGCGGUUGAAUGGACCGGAUGUUCAGACAGUGAACCUGACACGGGAGGAAGCAACGAGGUGGAACCGUUGAAGGAGGAAGCAGUGGCCGCCGCCUCGACCUCGCAGAAGGGGGCGCAGAAGCACAAGGGCAAGAGGAAAUCCAAUAAAGGUAAAGGCCGUGGCAGGAAGUGA
RNAcentral lists this ribosomal RNA (8259 nucleotides) under Triticum aestivum (bread wheat). RNAcentral's name for it is "partial small subunit ribosomal RNA". The record is from RNAcentral. Lineage: Eukaryota; Viridiplantae; Streptophyta; Magnoliopsida; Poales; Poaceae.